AUUAUCUAAUAUUAAUUAUUGUGAUGUUCUGUUAAUUUUGGCUUUUUUUAGACUGCCAAUAUAAACGCCAUGCGGAGGACACGUUGUUUGUUGUUACGGAGCAUGACGUGACGUGCUCGGAUGAUUACUGGAGGUCCGGGACUCGAGGGUUCGUGGAGUGUAUCAUGAGUGUUCGCCUUGGCUCCCUGCAGGAUGAUUAGCGAGGCCAAGCCAUCCUCACGAAGCCAGGCGUGACGGGAGACUCUCGGAUAGGCGGUGCACGUGGAGGAAUACAGAAACAUGAAAACACGCUUGGAAAUCCCAGUAUCUUCCACCAAAGCCUGUUGAAAGAUGUCGAGAUGAACGCCUAAACGUUUCAGAAUAUAUUGUCUCAGAACUGAGGUGAUAGCAUUUCCAUGCCAACGGGAGUUUCCAGCAGCCACACUGCCUCGUGUGUUUCCCCGCAUACCAAACACAAGCUUAGGUAUAGAUUGGGUCAACCAGGCCUGGCUGGAUGGUAACCGCGGGCACCAGGCUGGAUGAGGGGGAGUCCUGGGGAAACACAGUGGAGGCGGAGCGAGACGUCACACCGGCGCGGGAGUUCCCCGACCGUACCCGCGCAGCUCUAGGAAAACUGUUUUCAUCAAGAAAAGGCUUCA
Molecule: long non-coding RNA, 638 nt
Organism: Scylla paramamosain (green mud crab)
Lineage: Eukaryota; Metazoa; Arthropoda; Malacostraca; Decapoda; Portunidae
Exons: 3
Source: RefSeq, a predicted model, not a curated record